GUGAGGAAUAUUGCACAAUGGGGGAAACCCUGAUGCAGCAACGCCGCGUGAAGGAUGAAGGCUUUCGAGUUGUAAACUUCUUUUCUGGGGGAAGAGGAAGGACGGUACCCUAGGAAUAAGACACGGCUAACUACGUGCCAGCAGCCGCGGUAAUACGUAGGUGUCGAGCGUUAUCCGGAAUUACUGGGCGUAAAGGGCACGCAGGCGGCUGUUCAAGUUCGACGUGAAAUCUCCUGGCUUAACCGGGAGAAGCCGUUGGAAACUGAAUGGCUUGAGGCAAUGAGAGGGAUGCGGAAUUCCCGGUGUAGUGGUGGAAUGCGUAGAUAUCGGGAAGAACACCAGUGGCGAAAGCGGCAUCCUGGCAUUGGCCUGACGCUCAUGUGCGAAAGCGUGGGUAGCGAACGGGAUUAGAUACCCGUGUAGUCC
Molecule: ribosomal RNA, 426 nt
Filed under: uncultured bacterium
Lineage: Bacteria
Description: bacterial SSU rRNA
Rfam family: Bacterial small subunit ribosomal RNA
Source: RNAcentral